GGUGGCUUAGUAGUAGAGUACUUGUCUUGCAUGCAUGAGGACCUGGGUUCGAUUCCUCAGCACCA
Molecule: transfer RNA, 65 nt
Filed under: Dipodomys ordii (Ord's kangaroo rat)
Lineage: Eukaryota; Metazoa; Chordata; Mammalia; Rodentia; Heteromyidae
Rfam family: tRNA
About the family: Transfer RNA (tRNA) molecules are approximately 80 nucleotides in length. Their secondary structure includes four short double-helical elements and three loops (D, anti-codon, and T loops).
Source: Rfam by way of RNAcentral